AAGAAACUAGAUGCAGUCGAGCGGGAUGGAGAGGCUGAUAAAAGCGCAGCAGACUCAUCACAUCAAGAACUCAUAGAAGAAGGUUCUCAUCAAGAAAGUUAGAGGUUUAUAAGAGAUGAGCUGCUGCUAUAACCAUUCAUUCCAUUACAUUCUCUAUAUAUGUGUUUAUUCAGCUUGGUCAUUUUAUAGACAAAGUCAUUCACUCAUCAAACAAGCUCCUUCUUCUCUCCUUCU
This is a long non-coding RNA of Brassica oleracea var. oleracea, 234 nucleotides long. RefSeq lists it as uncharacterized. The transcript has 2 exons. NCBI's taxonomy places the organism in Eukaryota, Viridiplantae, Streptophyta, Magnoliopsida, Brassicales, Brassicaceae. The record is from RefSeq and is a predicted model, not a curated record.